CAAAACAAAUCAAAGGAAAAUUUUAUAGUAAAACGAAUCUAAAUUAAGUAACGUAACCAAAUUUCUCUUAACGAAAUUUAAAACUUUGAAAGUAAAUUGAUAAAUCAAUUAUUUUAGUUUUUCUUGCCGUUAUGUCACGGGUUGGCCACAAUCCUAGACUAUUCAAAUUCUCAGUUGAUUCCUAUCAAGACUGG
This is a long non-coding RNA of Drosophila nasuta, 194 nucleotides long. RefSeq lists it as uncharacterized. NCBI's taxonomy places the organism in Eukaryota, Metazoa, Arthropoda, Insecta, Diptera, Drosophilidae. The transcript has 2 exons. The record is from RefSeq and is a predicted model, not a curated record.